CGUAGGACCCAAGCGUUAUCCGGAGUGACUGGGCGUAAAGAGUUGCGUAGGCGGACAAGUAAGCGAAUAGUAAAAUCUGGUGGCUCAACCAUCAACCUAUUGUUCGAACUGCUUGUCUCGAGAAUGGUAGAGGUAGCUGGAAUUUCUUGUGUAGGAGUGAAAUCCGUAGAUAUAAGAAGGAACACCAAUGGCGUAGGCAGGCUACUGGACCAUUUCUGACGCUGAGGCACGAAAGCGUGGGGGAGCGAACCGGAUU
RNAcentral lists this ribosomal RNA (256 nucleotides) under uncultured bacterium. RNAcentral describes it as "partial 16S ribosomal RNA". It matches the Rfam family "Bacterial small subunit ribosomal RNA", at positions 526 to 779 of the family's 1533-position model. The record is from RNAcentral.